RNAcentral lists this ribosomal RNA (92 nucleotides) under Acidobacteriota bacterium. The record is from RNAcentral. Lineage: Bacteria; Pseudomonadati; Acidobacteriota.
CACCCGUUCCCAUCCCGAACACGGAAGUUAAGCCUCGCUGGGCCGAUGGUACUGCACGCGUAAGUGUGUGGGAGAUUAGGUGAUCGCCGGCA